CCUACGGGAGGCAGCAGUGGGGAAUAUUGGACAAUGGGGGGAACCCUGAUCCAGCGACGCCGCGUGAGUGAAGAAGUAUCUCGGUAUGUAAAGCUCUAUCAGCAGGGAAGAAAGAAAUGACGGUACCUGACUAAGAAGCCCCGGCUAACUACGUGCCAGCAGACGCGGUGAUACGUAGGGGGCAAGCGUUAUCCGGAUUUACUGGGUGUCAAGGGAGCGUAGACGGCUGAGCAAAUCUGAAGUGAAAGGCGGGGGGCCAACCCCCGGACCGCCGUGGAAACUGUCUAGCUAGAGUGCGGGAGAGGUAAGUGGAAUGCGUAGUGUAGCGGUGAAAUGCGUAGAUAUUGGGAAGAACACCAGUUGCGAAGGCAGCCUACUGGACUCUGACUGACGUUGAGGCUCGAAAGCGUGGGGAGCGAACAGGAUUAGAUACCCUUGUAGUC
This 443-nucleotide ribosomal RNA is filed under the name uncultured bacterium. RNAcentral's name for it is "partial 16S ribosomal RNA". It matches the Rfam family "Bacterial small subunit ribosomal RNA", at positions 338 to 795 of the family's 1533-position model. The record is from RNAcentral.